UGCAAGGGCCAGGAAACGAACGGGUAAGAUCAACUCUGACCCCUCUCACCCUGGCCACGAACACUUUGAAUCACUUUCCUCUGGAAGGGGACUCCGGACUGUCAACGAUGCCACAGCCAAACAUAAUAACAGCUUUUUACACGAGUAGUAGCUCUACUCAAUGACCAACAAUAUGUAGCUUCCUUUUGCUCCCGUAUUUUGUUGGCUCACA
Amblyraja radiata (thorny skate) is the source of this 211-nucleotide long non-coding RNA. RefSeq lists it as uncharacterized. NCBI's taxonomy places the organism in Eukaryota, Metazoa, Chordata, Chondrichthyes, Rajiformes, Rajidae. The record is from RefSeq and is a predicted model, not a curated record. The transcript has 3 exons.